This 253-nucleotide ribosomal RNA is filed under the name uncultured bacterium. RNAcentral's name for it is "partial 16S ribosomal RNA". It matches the Rfam family "Bacterial small subunit ribosomal RNA", at positions 524 to 776 of the family's 1533-position model. The record is from RNAcentral.
UACAGAGGAUGCAAGCGUUAUCCGGAAUGAUUGGGCGUAAAGCGUCUGUAGGUGGCUUUUUAAGUCCGCCGUCAAAUCCCAGGGCUCAACUCUGGACAGGCGGUGGAAACUACCAAGCUGGAGUACGGUAGGGGCAGAGGGAAUUUCCGGUGGAGCGGUGAAAUGCGUAGAGAUCGGAAAGAACACCAACGGCGAAGGCGACACGCUGGGCCGUACCUGACACUGAUGCGCGACAGCAUGGGGAGCAAACAGG